AAAAAGGGGCGCUGCCUGCUUUCCCCUGACAAAAUCCCGCCCGUGGCAGGCCUUUUUUCCUAGGCGAGAGCCUGCCUUCCUUUCUCCCUGCCUCCAUUGGAGCCCACGCUGUCGGAGGGGGAGCUUCGCAGCCCACCCAAUGCCUUCCCUUUCGGGGCGGAGCAGCUCCAGCCCGGACGGAGCCGCCAGAGAGAGCCGCGAUGCAAAAGGCAGAGGCCCGGCCACGUCAGCACGACCACCCCGGGCCCCCCGAUCCCAGGCCCGGCGGCGGGGCAGCCAUGGACAUCCCCGCGGGGCACAGGCUGGAACCAUCCCUUUACACUGUCAAGGCAAUUUUUAUCAUGGACAGCUUUGGGCAGAGACUUUUGGCCAAGUAUUAUGAUGAUACAUUUCCAUCCACGAAAGAACAGAAGAGUUUUGAGAGAAAUGUCUUCAACAAAACCCACAAGACUGAUAGUGAGAUUGCUUUCUUGGAAGGACUGACCAUUGUCUAUAAAAGCAGCAUUGAUCUUUUCUUUUAUGUGGUGGGGAGUCCACAUGAAAAUGAGCUUAUGCUAACAUCAGUUCUCAGUUGUCUUUUUGAAACCCUCAACCACAUGCUGCGAAAGAAUGUGGAGAAACGAGCCCUGAUGGAGAAUAUGGAUGGGGUAUUCCUUGUGGUGGAUGAGACCGUUGACGGCGGUGUGAUUUUAGAAAGUGAUCCUCAGCAAGUCAUCCAGAAGUUAAAUUUCAGAACAGUCCCCGAGCCUGCGCCUUAUGGCUUUGUUCUCCUUGAUUACAUCGUGGGCAAUUCAGAGCACAGUGAAAUUUUGCCUGAGAUGUUCCAAAAAUAGAUAAAUGUUCUCACAAACAGGAAGCAGGAGUGGAUGACCCCUCUUUAUCAGAGCACAGUGUCACUCAGGUCCUUCAGUCUGCCAAAGAGCAAAUUAAGUGGUCCUUAUUAAAAUAAAAUACUCCAAACAAAA
Molecule: RNA transcript, 965 nt
Organism: Anolis sagrei ordinatus
Lineage: Eukaryota; Metazoa; Chordata; Lepidosauria; Squamata; Anolidae
Gene: COPZ2
Gene name: COPI coat complex subunit zeta 2
Source: RefSeq, a predicted model, not a curated record